This 501-nucleotide ribosomal RNA is filed under the name uncultured bacterium. RNAcentral's name for it is "partial 16S ribosomal RNA". It matches the Rfam family "Bacterial small subunit ribosomal RNA", at positions 30 to 523 of the family's 1533-position model. The record is from RNAcentral.
AUUGAACGCUGGCGGCAGGCUUAACACAUGCAAGUCGAGCGGAGCGAGGGUGCUUGCACCUUAGCUUAGCGGCGGACGGGUGAGUAAUGCUUAGGAAUCUGCCUAUUAGUGGGGGACAACAUUCCGAAAGGAAUGCUAAUACCGCAUACGCCCUACGGGGGAAAGCAGGGGAUCUUCGGACCUUGCGCUAAUAGAUGAGCCUAAGUCGGAUUUGCUAGUUGGUGGGGUAAAGGCCUACCAAGGCGACGAUCUGUAGCGGGUCUGAGAGGAUGAUCCGCCACACUGGGCCUUAGACACGGCCCAGACUCCUACGGGAGGCAGCAGUGGGGAAUAUUGGACAAUGGGCGGAAGCCUGAUCCAGCCAUGCCGCGUGUGUGAAGAAGGCCUUUUGGUUGUAAAGCACUUUAAGCGAGGAGGAGGCUACUUAGAUUAAUACUCUGGGAUAGUGGACGUUACUCGCAGAAUAAGCACCGGCUAACUCUGUGCCAGCCGCCGCCGUAA